Molecule: non-coding RNA, 20 nt
Filed under: Arabidopsis thaliana (thale cress)
Lineage: Eukaryota; Viridiplantae; Streptophyta; Magnoliopsida; Brassicales; Brassicaceae
Source: RNAcentral
CUCUUUCCCUUAGUUGCUGC